Molecule: non-coding RNA, 243 nt
Filed under: Andrena hattorfiana
Lineage: Eukaryota; Metazoa; Arthropoda; Insecta; Hymenoptera; Andrenidae
Source: RNAcentral
UGAAUCAGCGGGUUUACGAGUGGGCAUGACGGUAUCUUCUGGGUAUACAAGCGUGCCGUGGUCUAACCCAAGACUAACCCCCACUUUUCUCCUUUUUCGGGGGUUACACACAGUUUUGUGUUCCCAUAGUUGGUUUGUUCGCCCUUCUUCCAAUAAAAAAAAAACCUAAGUCUGGGAAGGGUAUUCUCGUAAACUCCUUUCUUUUGGAAGUCCUGUGAAGAAUUGGCGUUUUCCAUUUGAUUU